RNAcentral lists this ribosomal RNA (594 nucleotides) under uncultured bacterium. RNAcentral's name for it is "bacterial SSU rRNA". It matches the Rfam family "Bacterial small subunit ribosomal RNA", at positions 338 to 950 of the family's 1533-position model. The record is from RNAcentral.
CCUACGGGAGGCAGCAGUGGGGAAUCUUGCGCAAUGGGCGAAAGCCUGACGCAGCCAUGCCGCGUGUAUGAUGAAGGUCUUAGGAUUGUAAAAUACUUUCACCGGGGACGAUAAUGACGGUACCCGGAGAAGAAGCCCCGGCUAACUUCGUGCCAGCAGCCGCGGUAAUACGAAGGGGGCUAGCGUUGCUCGGAAUUACUGGGCGUAAAGGGAGCGUAGGCGGGUAGUUUAGUCAGAGGUGAAAGCCCAGGGCUCAACCUUGGAACUGCCUUUGAUACUGGCUAUCUUGAGUAUGGGAGAGGUGAGUGGAACUCCGAGUGUAGAGGUGAAAUUCGUAGAUAUUCGGAAGAACACCAGUGGCGAAGGCGACUCACUGGCCCAUUACUGACGCUGAGGCUCGAAAGCGUGGGGAGCAAACAGGAUUAGAUACCCUGGUAGUCCACGCCGUAAACGAUGAGUGCUAGUUGUCGGCAUGCAUGCAUGUCGGUGACGCAGCUAACGCAUUAAGCACUCCGCCUGGGGAGUACGGUCGCAAGAUUAAAACUUAAAUGAAUUGACGGCUUGAGACUUCCGAAGGCACGACAGGGGAUUAGG